UCUGUAUAAGUUGUUAUGAUAUGAAGCAAAGUGCUUCGCGGAACUAAGUGCUACGUUGUGAGUCACCUCUAGAAUCCGCGUGAGACACCUCUUGAAUUCAUACUAGUAUGUUCAAGGGCUUAACGCCAAAUUAUCCAAGGGUUUGAUGCCACAAUGUUUAAGGGCUUCACGCCACAAUGUUCAAGGGCUUUACGCCACUCUAUUCAAGGGCUUACAGCCAUUAUGCUUCAAGAUGUUAUGUUUCAAGCCAUUAUGUUUAAAGUUUAAGCCUAAGACCAUUCUGAAAAUAAUUACAAUAUUAAGUUAACUAUGUGUUCUCUGCACUUAUGUUUGUACAUUAUAAUUCAAGUUAAUCAUUAAAUUGUUUACGUAUCACUAUUCACUGAGCUUGACUCACCCUGUGUUUUGUUUAUUCUGUAGGCACUCCAUCUGGAGGCCAGUCAAAACCCGUGGCAUCCGUUCCUCUUUUGUCAACCUCGGAGUGUCCAGGCACUUAAGUGAAGGCAACUAUUUUAUGGAGUUUUGCUAAGCUUUUGGUUUUGUACCCUGAUUGUUUGUCUGAGAUGUUCCCAGUCAUCGUAAAAGAUUAUGUCGUCGAGAAACAAGUUUCUCAAAGAAGAAAAAGAUUGAAAGUUGAGUUUGUUAUAGAGCCAACAACACAUGAAAGUGAAAAUCAACUAGAAGUUAAACCUGAAUCUAACAUUGACAAUGAGGAGCCCAAAUAGGAACAACUGAAACAAGCUACAGAGCUCCACAAAGCAAGAGGGAAGAAAAAGAUUGAUGGAAGAAAAACUAGGACUGAACAAAUACAUGAUAAUGAAGCAAAGUAUGUCUACCGUUCUAACAUUCAAUCUCUUAUCAAAUUUUUCAAGAGAACAAAACUCAGAGAGGAGCAUUUGACACUAUUGAGAAAGACACAUUUUUCACUUCUGGUUGAUACAUUGAGUGAAAACAAGGUUAAAAGAAGAGAUUCAAUUAAAUAUGAUGAUGUGGUUGCAAAAAUUUUGCAAACUUACCAAAUAGAUGGAACCACAUUUGAAAUUGCUGGAAAGAAGCUGAAGUUGAAAAGAAAUGACUUCAAGUUAAUUUUUGGGAUUGCAUGUGGACAAAAGAAGAUGAAUCUUGCAUACGGAAGAAAAAAUGAGGUAGCUAUGGUGCAAAGAAGGAAAUAACCGAGAGCAGAAUGACAAGUGCUUCAAUCCAAAAGUUGAUAACGAAACUUUUGAGAAGCAACAACAAUGAAGAUGUAGAAGAUGUCGUUAGGCUUGUGUGCCUUCUGGUUUGUUUGCUUUUGUUGUAUUCGGGUACUAGGAUAACAAUUGGUUGGGGGUUCAUGAAAUACCUCGAGAAUAUUGAUGAAAUAAAGUCUUAUGAUUGGUGUGGCGCAGCAAAACAACAUCUUACAAGAUCAAUAGCACGCAACAUCAACCAAAUUGAUAGAGUGUGCGGAUGUGUGAUCAUCUUAUUAUAUUGGAUAUGUGAGCAUGCAAAGAUCAUCAAACCAAAUGAUAAGAACCCAAUCCCAAGAUUUGCAAAAUGGAACAUUACACAUCUGGGAGAACAAUUGGCAAAGUCAUCCUUGCAUGAUCUGAAACAUAUUGAGGAGAGCAAUUUGAAAGACACAAUUGAAGAAUAGAACAUAUACAAACAAUUGCAACCACAAACAGAUGAUGAGCAUGAAGAUGAAUAAUGUAACUUUGAGGAACAAGAGCAUACUGAAUUAUCUGAAAAGGAAGAAGAACCAAUUAUCAGAAAGAUAUUCAGUCUCAAUCCAGGAAGAAAUUCACCGAAUCCCAAGCAUCAAACAGGUGCUCGAAAAAAGAGGAAAUCAACAACAUUGCAAUCAAAAAAGAAUGUAAGAAGGAAAGCCAACUUUCAGCAUGAAACUAAAGAAGGUCCAGUUCAUAUGCAAAGAAAUGAGCUUUCUUUUGACAACCUAGAAAAUGAUGAAGAAUAAACAAUGAUCAAACAGAAAGUUAGUCCAACAACUUCACCAGGAUUCAAGCAUCAAACACCGGCUGAAAAGAGGAAAACAGAAAGGAAACUUGCCAAUGAAACAAAUAUCUAUCAUGUCAAAAUUAAUGAACAUACCUUUCAGAAACUAGAGGAGAAUGUCCUGAUAAUCCAAAGGCUAGAAAUGGAGAAGGCAAGAAUCCAAGCAGAAAAUGAUGAGCUUAAGGACCAACUCAUGAAGCUCAGUAAACAAAUGGAAGAACAGAGCAAGAAAGCAAAGACACAAAUGGAAGUGAAAGAUGUGAAAAUAGUGCUACUUAAUAAGAGAAUUACAAUGUUGGUUGAAUCGAAUUUCUACCUGAACAGUCAAGAAGAACAAAUCGCAGUUGAAGUUAAAGCCACCACUCCUAAAACAUUGCCUCUUGUGAGCUCAAUGAUAAAAAAGGGUGAAAAAUAGAGAAACAAGAAAAAAACACAAAGAUCCAGAUUUUUGGUACAUAACGAAAAGACAGCCAAAGCAGAACAAGAUAGUUGAUGAAAUAGAACCAAUGGUUGAAGAAAGUGCAAAGACCAAAAAAGAAGAGCAGACACAACAUCAACAUCCAACAAAACAAAUUGACACUUCCUAUCCAGUGUUUCACAAAUUGCCAAAGAAAUCAAGGAUGAAACUCACUAGUCGUUGGGCAACAAAAACCAGCAGUUAUCCAAUCUUACAAGGAAAGGAAGUAGGCAGCUAUUUGUACUUGGAUGAUAUUGACAAAAUAGUCAAAUACGAAAAACUUUCUGGAAAUGCAACAAAUGCAUACAAGGAAAUCUUAAUGGCAGAAGAGCAACCGAAACCAAAGUUCAGCCUUAGCUCGCAAGCAGGAACAACAUAUAUAUUUACUACAUCAUGCCGUUAUUUGUUCACCACAAAGGAUGAGGCAGAAACAAAUCAAUUGUUGAAAAAAAAUGAUGUUAGAAGCUGUCAAGGAAAUAUAUCUUCUUUUCUCAAUUUUCAAUGAAAAGCAUUGGACGUUGUUGGUACUCGAUACUGAAAAUGGCUCAUGGAAGUUUUACAAUUCAAUGAGACCAAGCACAGAAACAGAUAACCACUUAAAUGAGGCAAACAAAGUGAGAAAGGUUAUUGAAAAAUACCUUCAACAUCACAAUCCUAAACUCAUUGAAGGUAACAAGUUUCAUGAAGAAAUAGAAAUUGUAAUGAAUUGUCCCUAACAAGUUGAUCAUUCACUUGAUUGUGGCGUCAUAGUUUGUUACCUCAUGAGAGAAUAUGUCUGUAACAAAGACAUCUUUUCCAACUUAACAAAGGAGCAGUGCCAGUAAAUCAGAGCAGAUAUCAUACAUGCUUUGUUGACUAACCAACAGACAGACACCCAGCAAAUCGUUGAUGAGGCAAUAGAAGCGGUGCUUGAAGACAAGGAGUUUUGGGACACAAUAGACAAUGACAACAAUGCUUGAAUAAUUUGGGACAAAGAUUAUAAUCAUUUUGGUUCUUACUUUGCUUCAAUGAAUAUUACAAUGCUUGGUUGUUACAAUGUCAAAUUUGCUUCAAUGAAACAUUCAGUCUUUUUUAACCAUAUUGUUA
Camellia sinensis is the source of this 3538-nucleotide RNA transcript. RefSeq lists it as uncharacterized. Lineage: Eukaryota; Viridiplantae; Streptophyta; Magnoliopsida; Ericales; Theaceae. The record is from RefSeq and is a predicted model, not a curated record.